RNAcentral lists this ribosomal RNA (253 nucleotides) under uncultured bacterium. RNAcentral describes it as "partial 16S ribosomal RNA". It matches the Rfam family "Bacterial small subunit ribosomal RNA", at positions 524 to 776 of the family's 1533-position model. The record is from RNAcentral.
UACGUAGGGAGCAAGCGUUGUCCGGAAUCAUUGGGCGUAAAGCGCGCGUAGGUGGCCUCAUAAGUCCGUUGUGAAAGUCAAAGGCUCAACCUUUGAAAGCCGAUGGAUACUGUGAGGCUAGAGUACGGAAGAGGAGAAUGGAAUUCCCGGUGUAGCGGUGAAAUGCGCAGAUAUCGGGAAGAACACCCGUGGCGAAGGCGGUUCUCUGGGACGGUACUGACGCUGAGACGCGAAAGCGUGGGGAGCGAACAGG